This 3023-nucleotide ribosomal RNA is filed under the name Providencia rettgeri. Its description in RNAcentral is "23S ribosomal RNA". It matches the Rfam family "Bacterial large subunit ribosomal RNA". Lineage: Bacteria; Pseudomonadati; Pseudomonadota; Gammaproteobacteria; Enterobacterales; Morganellaceae. The record is from RNAcentral.
GGUUAAGCGACUAAGCGUACACGGUGGAUGCCUAGGCAAUCAGAGGCGAUGAAGGACGUGCUAAUCUGCGAUAAGCGUCGGUAAGGUGAUAUGAACCGUUACAACCGACGAUUUCCGAAUGGGGAAACCCAGUGCAAUUCGUUGCACUAUCGUUUGAUGAAUACAUAGUCAAACGAAGCGAACCGGGGGAACUGAAACAUCUCAGUACCCCGAGGAAAAGAAAUCAACCGAGAUUCCCCUAGUAGCGGCGAGCGAACGGGGAGCAGCCCAGAGUCUUAAUCAGCAUUAGCAUCAGGAGAACGGUCUGGAAAGUCCGGCAGUAAAGGGUGAUAGCCCCGUAUCCGAAGGUGUUAGUGUUGUGAACUCGACGAGUAGGGCGGGACACGUGUUAUCCUGUCUGAAUAUGGGGGGACCAUCCUCCAAGGCUAAAUACUCCUGAUUGACCGAUAGUGAACCAGUACCGUGAGGGAAAGGCGAAAAGAACCCCGGCGAGGGGAGUGAAAUAGAACCUGAAACCGUGUACGUACAAGCAGUGGGAGCCUUGAUUUAUCAGGGUGACUGCGUACCUUUUGUAUAAUGGGUCAGCGACUUAUAUUCUGUAGCAAGGUUAACCGAAUAGGGGAGCCGUAGGGAAACCGAGUCUUAACUGGGCGAAUGAGUUGCAGGGUAUAGACCCGAAACCCGGUGAUCUAGCCAUGGGCAGGUUGAAGGUUGGGUAACACUAACUGGAGGACCGAACCGACUAAUGUUGAAAAAUUAGCGGAUGACUUGUGGCUGGGGGUGAAAGGCCAAUCAAACCGGGAGAUAGCUGGUUCUCCCCGAAAGCUAUUUAGGUAGCGCCUCGUGAACUCAUCUUCGGGGGUAGAGCACUGUUUCGACUAGGGGGUCAUCCCGACUUACCAACUCGAUGCAAACUACGAAUACCGAAGAAUGUUAUCACGGGAGACACACGGCGGGUGCUAACGUUCGUCGUGAAGAGGGAAACAACCCAGACCGCCAGCUAAGGUCCCAAAGUCAUAGUUAAGUGGGAAACGAAGUGGGAAGGCUCAGACAGCCAGGAUGUUGGCUUAGAAGCAGCCAUCAUUUAAAGAAAGCGUAAUAGCUCACUGGUCGAGUCGGCCUGCGCGGAAGAUGUAACGGGGCUAAACUAUGCACCGAAGCUGCGGCAGCGAACGUAUCACUUAAACUGAUUAAGUGAUACUCAAAUGUAUUAAAACGAUUGACGGAGCGAAGCGACGUCAAUGCGUCCAACAAAGUCGAGGCGGAAACGUCAGGCAGUCAGUUUAAGGAUACGUUCGUUGGGUAGGGGAGCGUUCUGUAAGCCUGUGAAGGUGUGCUGUGAGGCAUGCUGGAGGUAUCAGAAGUGCGAAUGCUGACAUAAGUAACGAUAAUGCGGGUGAAAACCCGCACGCCGGAAGACCAAGGGUUCCUGUCCAACGUUAAUCGGGGCAGGGUGAGUCGACCCCUAAGGCGAGGCAGAAAUGCGUAGUCGAUGGGAAACGGGUUAAUAUUCCCGUACUGGUGAUAAUUGCGAUGGGGGGGGACGGAGAAGGCUAGGCUAUCCGGGCGACGGUUGUCCCGGUUUAAGGAUGUAGGCAGGUGAAUUAGGCAAAUCCGGUUCACUAUAUGCUGAGGUCCGACGACGAGUCACUACGGUGAUGAAGUAGCUCAUGCCCCGCUUCCAGGAAAAGCCUCUAAGCUCUAGAUUAUCAUUAAUCGUACCCCAAACCGACACAGGUGGUCAGGUAGAGAAUACUCAGGCGCUUGAGAGAACUCGGGUGAAGGAACUAGGCAAAAUGGUGCCGUAACUUCGGGAGAAGGCACGCUGGCAUUAGGUGAAGUGGUUUACCCAUGGAGCUGAAGCCAGUCGCAGAUACCAGCUGGCUGCAACUGUUUAUUAAAAACACAGCACUGUGCAAACACGAAAGUGGACGUAUACGGUGUGACGCCUGCCCGGUGCUGGAAGGUUAAUUGAUGGGGUUAUCCGUAAGGAGAAGCUCUUGAUCGAAGCCCCAGUAAACGGCGGCCGUAACUAUAACGGUCCUAAGGUAGCGAAAUUCCUUGUCGGGUAAGUUCCGACCUGCACGAAUGGCGUAAUGAUGGCCAGGCUGUCUCCACCCGAGACUCAGUGAAAUUGAACUCGCUGUGAAGAUGCAGUGUACCCGCGGCAAGACGGAAAGACCCCGUGAACCUUUACUAUAGCUUGACACUGAACAUUGAGCCUUGAUGUGUAGGAUAGGUGGGAGGCUUUGAAGUGUGGACGCCAGUCUGCAUGGAGCCAACCUUGAAAUACCACCCUUUAAUGUUUGAUGUUCUAACGUUGCCCCGUUAUCCGGGGUGCGGACAGUGUCUGGUGGGUAGUUUGACUGGGGCGGUCUCCUCCCAAAGAGUAACGGAGGAGCACGAAGGUUGGCUAAGCAUGGUCGGACAUCAUGCGGUUAGUGCAAAGGCAUAAGCCAGCUUGACUGCGAGAGUGACGGCUCGAGCAGGUACGAAAGUAGGUCUUAGUGAUCCGGUGGUUCUGAAUGGAAGGGCCAUCGCUCAACGGAUAAAAGGUACUCCGGGGAUAACAGGCUGAUACCGCCCAAGAGUUCAUAUCGACGGCGGUGUUUGGCACCUCGAUGUCGGCUCAUCACAUCCUGGGGCUGAAGUAGGUCCCAAGGGUACGGCUGUUCGCCGUUUAAAGUGGUACGCGAGCUGGGUUUAGAACGUCGUGAGACAGUUCGGUCCCUAUCUGCCGUGGGCGUUGGAAGAUUGAAAGGGGCUGCUCCUAGUACGAGAGGACCGGAGUGGACGCACCACUGGUGUUCGGGUUGUCAUGCCAAUGGCAUUGCCCGGUAGCUAAGUGCGGAAGAGAUAACCGCUGAAAGCAUCUAAGCGGGAAACUUGCCUUGAGAUGAGUCUUCCCUGACCCUUUAAGGGUCCUAAAGGAACGUUUAAGACUAAGACGUUGAUAGGUUGGGUGUGUAAGCGUAGCGAUACGUUGAGCUAACCAAUACUAAUGAACCGUGAGGCUUAACCUG